GAUGAACGCUGGCGGCGUGCCUAAUACAUGCAAGUCGAGCGAACGGACGCGAAGCUUGCUUCUCUGAUGUUAGCGGCGGACGGGUGAGUAACACGUGGAUCCCCUCCCUAUCAGUCUGGGAUCACUUCGGGAAACCGGAGCUAAUACCGGAUGAUCUUUUGAACCGCAUGGUUCAAAAGUGAAAGACGGUCUUGCUGUCACUUAUCGCUGGAUCUGCGCUGCAUUAGCUAGUUGGUACGGUCACGGCUUACCAAGGCAACGAUGCAUAGACGACCUGAGAGGGUGAUCGGCCACAUGGGAACGGAGACACGGACCAGAGUCCUACGGGAGGCAGCAGUAGGGAAUCUGACGCAAUGGGCGAAAGCCUGACGGAGCAACGCGGAGUGAGAGAUGAAGGUCUUGGGAGCGGAAAACUCUGUUAUGAGGGAAGAACAUAUGUGGAAGGAACUGUGCACAGCUUGACGGUACCUAAUCAGAAAGCAACGGCUAACUACGUG
RNAcentral lists this ribosomal RNA (497 nucleotides) under uncultured bacterium. RNAcentral describes it as "partial 16S ribosomal RNA". It matches the Rfam family "Bacterial small subunit ribosomal RNA", at positions 28 to 507 of the family's 1533-position model. The record is from RNAcentral.